UACGUAGGGUGCAAGCGUUGUCCGGAAUUAUUGGGCGUAAAGCGCUCGUAGGCGGUCCGUCACGUCGGCUGUGAAAGCCCGGGGCUCAACCCCGGGCCUGCAGUCGAUACGGGCGGGCUAGAGUUCGGCAGGGGAGACUGGAAUUCCUGGUGUAGCGGUGAAAUGCGCAGAUAUCAGGAGGAACACCGGUGGCGAAGGCGGGUCGCUGGGCCGGAACUGACGCUGAGGAGCGAAAGCGUGGGGAGCGAACAGG
Molecule: ribosomal RNA, 253 nt
Filed under: uncultured bacterium
Lineage: Bacteria
Description: partial 16S ribosomal RNA
Rfam family: Bacterial small subunit ribosomal RNA
Source: RNAcentral